CGGCAAACUUGACAUUACACCAGAACUGCUAUGAAGAACGUAUACAUUGGUUUAAGUAACCUAUUUUUCUUCAUACUUCAUUGCCUUAAUUAUGAUGUUGUAGAAGCAAGAAGAGGUGACGUUAUACCAUUGGGAUCUAUUAUUGGAAGCUCAGAAAUGAGACAUCUCAAGGGUUCUCAUAUAGAUCGCCAUAAUUAUGACUACGAUAAAGCAGAAUUCCCUCAAUUUCGGAAACGAAAGGCAAAGAAAAAACACAAAGUAAUUAAAAACAAAAAUUCACUGCAACAUUCAGAAGAUGAUGAGAAGCAAACAUUCAAACACAAAGGGAAGAAGCGAGGCAGCAAGAGAUUUAUCAAGACAACUUUAAAAAAUAUAGACAAAGAUUCAAAUCUAUCCGAUUCAGAUGAUAAUGAUAAGAAUAAAAAUCCUGUUGAUAUUAUAGUUCAUAUCAAAAUGAAGGAAUAAUUGCUCACA
Molecule: long non-coding RNA, 474 nt
Organism: Vanessa tameamea
Lineage: Eukaryota; Metazoa; Arthropoda; Insecta; Lepidoptera; Nymphalidae
Exons: 3
Source: RefSeq, a predicted model, not a curated record